AUACGGAGGGUGCAAGCGUUAAUCGGAAUUACUGGGCGUAAAGCGCGCGUAGGCGGUUUUGCAAGUCGGAUGUGAAAGCCCAGGGCUCAACCUUGGAAUUGCAUUCGAAACUGCUUGACUAGAGUAUGGUAGAGGGAAGUGGAAUUUCCGGUGUAGCGGUGAAAUGCGUAGAUAUCGGAAGGAACACCAGUGGCGAAGGCGACUUCCUGGGCCAAUACUGACGCUCAGGUGCGAAAGCGUGGGGAGCAAACAGAAUUAGAAACCCCGGUAGUCC
This 274-nucleotide ribosomal RNA is filed under the name uncultured bacterium. RNAcentral describes it as "partial 16S ribosomal RNA". It matches the Rfam family "Bacterial small subunit ribosomal RNA", at positions 523 to 796 of the family's 1533-position model. The record is from RNAcentral.